This 253-nucleotide unclassified non-coding RNA is filed under the name uncultured Frankiales bacterium. Its description in RNAcentral is "contains 16S-23S intergenic spacer region". It matches the Rfam family "Bacterial small subunit ribosomal RNA", at positions 524 to 776 of the family's 1533-position model. The record is from RNAcentral. Lineage: Bacteria; Bacillati; Actinomycetota; Actinomycetes; Frankiales.
CACGUAGGGCGCAAGCGUUGUCCGGAAUUAUUGGGCGUAAAGAGCUCGUAGGCGGCUUGUCGCGUCUGCUGUGAAAUCCCGGGGCUUAACCCCGGGCGUGCAGUGGAUACGGGCUGGCUGGAGGCAGGCAGGGGAGAAUGGAAUUCCCGGUGUAGCGGUGAAAUGCGCAGAUAUCGGGAGGAACACCGGUGGCGAAGGCGGUUCUCUGGGCCUGUUCUGACGCUGAGGAGCGAAAGCGUGGGGAGCGAACAGG